AUGUUGCUCUUCAUGGCCUUGUCCUUGACGUUCUCUCAAGGGCUUUAUUAUCUGGCAGUCCUUGCAACAAACAGAAUGACCUCUGGCUUCCUCUUACCUCUGAACCGUACAUCUUCUAUUGCCUGGAGUGCAUUCCCACCCUUGUUCAUCUGGCUUAGAGCUCCUCCUCUUCCCUGGGCAGCCUGCCCUCAUGCUCCCUCUACCUUCUGGAGCAGGGUGCCCGCCCUGCUGCCUGGGAGCUCCUUGAGAUCUGGCACGGUCAUCUUUUGCUGCACUCUACACCUACUCACUGCACCUCUGAUACAUAAACUGACAAACUCUAUUUUGAAUCCAAGCUGAGUUUUUGAAAGUCUCCGAGGAUUCCUUUGAAUGGUAUGUAUCAUAGAGGUUGGAGGGCAUUAGGCACACAGCACCCUGACUCCCUCCUCUGCAACUGACUUAUGUUGAGAUUUCUGAACAGCCUCUAACUUCCUUAGAUCUAAUAGGAUCAAAUAAGUGGUAAAUACCUGGUGGUAGUAGAGACUAGAAAACAGUGGAUUUAGUUCCAUUAGUGCUCUUGGCUUGGGAGCUAGAAGUUCUGCCCUAGAGUUCCAUUGAGCAUGCUAAGUAAUUGAGUCCUGAAAACAUGACAGUGUUGGACACUUAAAGAAUUGACUUUACUGAGGAUGGGACUUAGGGAAAAAAGAAGAUUCUGCAUUUUAUAUAUCAGCUACACAUUCAUUCCCACUUUUACCACUUAAGGGAAAGAAGUUUAAAAAUCUCUUUUUAAAAAAGAGACAAGCAAAAAACAAACAAACAAACAUACUCCUAAUAUAGAGAACAAACUGGUGAUUACCAGAGGGGAGGUGGGUGGGGCAUUGGUGAAAUAGGCAAAGGGGAUUAAGAGUACACUCAUAGUGAUGAGCAAUGAGUAAUAUGUAAAAUUGUUGAAUCACUCUAUUGUACACUUGAAACUAAUAUAACACUGCAUGUUAAUUAUAGAAUUUAAACACAAAUGCAAAACAAAAAACCUUAAACCUACAACAACCAUAUGACCCAUAUAUUCAGCUUCUCUUUAUUUACUAAAGCAAAGUUAAAAGAUAUGUCCACACACACAAAAAACUCUCCUUUAGAUGCCUUUUAUUUAUUUUUAUGCUUAUUUCUUUUAUUGAAGUAAGAAAUGGGUUGUGUAUGCAGAUGUGUAUUUUUAAACCUUUUGAACCCAAAGAACUUUAUUCAGUAUUCAUUAUGUUUGUAAGCAUGGUUUGAGCAUAUCUAAAGUGACGGAUUAGCUGGCUACAAAAUUUAUAGCUAUUGGUUUUAACUAUAAGAAGUAAUCAGAAAUGUGGAAGCAAUGAUA
RNAcentral lists this long non-coding RNA (1339 nucleotides) under Vulpes vulpes (red fox). RNAcentral describes it as "lncRNA (ENSVVUG00000011009.1)". The record is from RNAcentral. Lineage: Eukaryota; Metazoa; Chordata; Mammalia; Carnivora; Canidae.